RNAcentral lists this ribosomal RNA (468 nucleotides) under uncultured bacterium. Its description in RNAcentral is "partial 16S ribosomal RNA". It matches the Rfam family "Bacterial small subunit ribosomal RNA", at positions 28 to 507 of the family's 1533-position model. The record is from RNAcentral.
GACGAACGCUGGCGGCGUGCUUAGCACAUGCAAGUCGAACGGAAAGGCCCUGCUUUUGUGGGGCGCUCGAGUGGCGAACGGGUGAGUAACACGUGAGUAACCUGCCCUUGACUUUGGGAUAACUUCAGGAAACUGGGGCUAAUACCGGAUAGGAGCUCCUGCUGCAUGGUGGGGGUUGGAAAGUUUCGGCGGUUGGGGAUGGACUCGCGGCUUAUCAGCUUGUUGGUGGGGUAGUGGCUUACCAAGGCUUUGACGGGUAGCCGGCCUGAGAGGGUGACCGGCCACAUUGGGACUGAGAUACGGCCCAGACUCCUACGGGAGGCAGCAGUGGGGAAUAUUGCACAAUGGGCGGAAGCCUGAUGCAGCAACGCCGCGUGCGGGAUGACGGCCUUCGGGUUGUAAACCGCUUUCGCCUGUGACGAAGCGUGAGUGACGGUAAUGGGUAAAGAAGCACCGGCUAACUACGUG